RNAcentral lists this ribosomal RNA (271 nucleotides) under uncultured bacterium. Its description in RNAcentral is "partial 16S ribosomal RNA". It matches the Rfam family "Bacterial small subunit ribosomal RNA", at positions 793 to 1055 of the family's 1533-position model. The record is from RNAcentral.
GUCCUAGCCUUAAACGAUGAUGACUUGGUGUGUCGGGUUUUCAGUCCCGAUGUGCCGGAGCUAACGCGUUAAGUCAUCCGCCUGGGGAGUACGGUCGCAAGACUGAAACUCAAAGGAAUUGACGGGGACCCGCACAAGCGGUGGAGCAUGUGGUUUAAUUCGACGCAACGCGAAGAACCUUACCUAGGCUAGAAUGCGAAGGACGAAGGUGCAAAACAUCCUCUUCUAUGGGAAACCAUAGACCUGAAGCAAGGUGCUGCAUGGCUGUCGU